UACGUAGGGGGCAAGCGUUGUCCGGAAUCAUUGGGCGUAAAGCGCGUGUAGGCGGCUCGGUAAGUCCGCUCUGAAAGUCCAGGGCUCAACCCUGGGAUGCGGGUGGAUACUGCCGGGCUCGAGUCCGGAAGAGGCGAGUGGAAUUCCCGGCGUAGCGGUGAAAUGCGCAGAUAUCGGGAGGAACACCAAUGGCGAAGGCAGCUCGCUGGGACGUGACUGACGCUGAGACGCGAAAGCGUGGGGAGCAAACAGG
RNAcentral lists this ribosomal RNA (253 nucleotides) under uncultured bacterium. RNAcentral describes it as "partial 16S ribosomal RNA". It matches the Rfam family "Bacterial small subunit ribosomal RNA", at positions 524 to 776 of the family's 1533-position model. The record is from RNAcentral.